GAUGAACGCUGGCGGCGUGCCUAAUACAUGCAAGUCGAGCGAACAGACGAGGAGCUUGCUCCUCUGACGUUAGCGGCGGACGGGUGAGUAACACGUGGAUAACCUACCUAUAAGACUGGGAUAACUUCGGGAAACCGGAGCUAAUACCGGAUAAUAUAUUGAACCGCAUGGUUCAAUAGUGAAAGACGGUUUUGCUGUCACUUAUAGAUGGAUCCGCGCCGCAUUAGCUAGUUGGUAAGGUAACGGCUUACCAAGGCAACGAUGCGUAGCCGACCUGAGAGGGUGGUCGGCCAAACUGGAAAUGGGACCCGGGCCAGACCCCGACGGGGGGCAGAAGUGGGGAAUUUGCCGCAAUGGGGGAAAGCCUGGCGGGGCAACGCCGGGGGGGUGAUGAAGGUUCUCGGAUCGGAAAACCCUUUUAUUAGGGAAAAAAAAAUUGGUAAGUAACUUAGCACGUUUUGACGGGACCCUAUCAGAAAGCCAAGGCUAACGACG
RNAcentral lists this ribosomal RNA (495 nucleotides) under uncultured bacterium. RNAcentral's name for it is "partial 16S ribosomal RNA". It matches the Rfam family "Bacterial small subunit ribosomal RNA", at positions 28 to 505 of the family's 1533-position model. The record is from RNAcentral.